This 253-nucleotide ribosomal RNA is filed under the name uncultured bacterium. Its description in RNAcentral is "partial 16S ribosomal RNA". It matches the Rfam family "Bacterial small subunit ribosomal RNA", at positions 524 to 776 of the family's 1533-position model. The record is from RNAcentral.
UACGUAGGGGGCAAGCGUUGUCCGGAAUCAUUGGGCGUAAAGAGCGCGUAGGCGGCCCAGUAAGUCCGCUCUGAAAGUCAGGGGCUCAACCCCUGGAUGCGGGUGGAUACUGCUGGGCUAGAGUCCGGAAGAGGUGAGUGGAAUUCCUGGUGUAGCGGUGAAAUGCGUAGAUAUCAGGAGGAACACCGGUGGCGAAGGCGGCUCUCUGGACGGUGACUGACGCUGAGACGCGAAAGCGUGGGGAGCAAACAGG